This 1331-nucleotide ribosomal RNA is filed under the name Elongatopedicellata lignicola. RNAcentral's name for it is "bacterial SSU rRNA". It matches the Rfam family "Eukaryotic small subunit ribosomal RNA", at positions 62 to 1119 of the family's 1831-position model. Lineage: Eukaryota; Fungi; Ascomycota; Dothideomycetes; Pleosporales; Thyridariaceae. The record is from RNAcentral.
AGUAUAAGCAAUUAUACCGUGAAACUGCGAAUGGCUCAUUAAAUCAGUUAUCGUUUAUUUGAUAGUACCUUACUACUUGGAUAACCGUGGUAAUUCUAGAGCUAAUACAUGCUAAAAAGCCCGACUUCGGAAGGGCUGUAUUUAUUAGAUAAAAAACCAAUGCCCUUCGGGGCUCUUUGGUGAUUCAUAAUAACUUAACGGAUCGCAUGGCCUUGCGCCGGCGACGGUUCAUUCAAAUUUCUGCCCUAUCAACUUUCGAUGGUAAGGUAUUGGCUUACCAUGGUUUCAACGGGUGACGGGGUUUUAGGGAACGACUCCGGAGAGGGAGCCUGAGAAACGGCUACCACAUCCAAGGAAGGCAGCAGGCGCGCAAAUUACCCAAUCCCAAUACGGGGAGGUAGUGACAAUAAAUACUGAUACAGGGCCCUUUCGGGUCUUGUAAUCGGAAUGAGUACAAUUUAAAUACCUUAACGAGGAACAAUUGGAGGGCAAGUCUGGUGGAAAUCCCACUGGCGCCAGACAUAGUGAGGCUAUAAGCCUCGCUAGUCGAGCAUCCCCUAAGUGAUGGGCGGAUGCCGGCAAGGUGACCUUGUAUGAGAUAGCCCUCGCUGGGUAAUCUCAUGGCGAGCUUUCGAGCCGCCAUAACGCGCGCAAAGGCACCGGCCCCAAGGGGCUCAAGGGACGCGCUUUUCCCUCGCGAAAUGCGAGCUUUGAAUGCUGAGCGCCCAUCACGCGAAGCCUCAAAGAGUUGCUUUAGCUAGCAGCUGGAUUGUGAAAUAGGCCAGCAGCCGCGGUAAUUCCAGCUCCAAUAGCGUAUAUUAAAGUUGUUGCAGUUAAAAAGCUCGUAGUUGAAUUUUGGGCCUGGCUGGCCGGUCUGCCUCACCGCAUGCACUGGUUCGGCCGGGCCUUUCCUUCUGGAGAACCUCAUGCCCUUCACUGGGCGUGUUGGGGAACCAGGACUUUUACUUUGAGAAAAUUAGAGUGUUCAAAGCAGGCCUUUGCUCGAAUACGUUAGCAUGGAAUAAUAGAAUAGGACGUGUGGUUCUAUUUUGUUGGUUUCUAGGACCGCCGUAAUGAUUAAUAGGGGUAGUCGGGGGCGUCAGUAUUCAAUUGUCAGAGGUGAAAUUCUUGGAUUUAUUGAAGACUAACUACUGCGAAAGCAUUCGCCAAGGAUGUUUUCAUUAAUCAGUGAACGAAAGUUAGGGGAUCGAAGACGAUCAGAUACCGUCGUAGUCUUAACCGUAAACUAUGCCGACUAGGGAUUGGGCGAUGUUAUUAUUAUUGACUCGCUCAGCACCUUACGAGAAAUCAUAAGUUUUUGGGUUCUGGGG